AAUAAGCAAUGGAUUUAGUUCCCUCUCUUAACAUCUAACGUGAACUCUGCCGCAUCCACCGCAAGCAUCAGCGCCGCCGCCGCCCUGAAGCCUCAGAAAGUUGUUGCUCUUUUCGCUGCUCAAACCUGCCAUACCACUCCAUCGGCUGCUGCUGAUUGCUACUUUCUUGUGCACUUGGCUUCUAUUUUCUCAGGGGCUCGAGAACUCAUAAAGGCCAUUUUCUUGCUUUUUGUCGAGUAUCAGAAGAUGGCAACUGGAGCUGGACUAGAGACUCUUGUUGAUCGGAAUUCUAAAAGGUUUCGAUCAAGCAACCAACAUAAUUCUUGAUGAGUCUCAUGAACGUGUGUACUCCACAAAGGUCUCGUCUCUUGCAAGUAUUGAAUGCUUGAAUGUUUGCUAACUAAUUAGUCUGAUUACUUGUCUGCCAAUUAAUGAUUUUGUUCAAGGAACUAUGUCAAUUCGUUUUAAAGACACUAAC
Salvia splendens (bonfire salvia) is the source of this 478-nucleotide long non-coding RNA. RefSeq lists it as uncharacterized. The record is from RefSeq and is a predicted model, not a curated record. The transcript is spliced from 3 exons. NCBI's taxonomy places the organism in Eukaryota, Viridiplantae, Streptophyta, Magnoliopsida, Lamiales, Lamiaceae.